GGGGCUGUAGCUCAGUGGCAGAGUACCUGCCUAGCAGGCACUGGGUUCGAUCCUCAGCACCA
Molecule: transfer RNA, 62 nt
Filed under: Marmota marmota marmota (Alpine marmot)
Lineage: Eukaryota; Metazoa; Chordata; Mammalia; Rodentia; Sciuridae
Also listed under: 1 other name
Rfam family: tRNA
About the family: Transfer RNA (tRNA) molecules are approximately 80 nucleotides in length. Their secondary structure includes four short double-helical elements and three loops (D, anti-codon, and T loops).
Source: Rfam by way of RNAcentral